RNAcentral lists this ribosomal RNA (460 nucleotides) under uncultured bacterium. RNAcentral describes it as "partial 16S ribosomal RNA". It matches the Rfam family "Bacterial small subunit ribosomal RNA", at positions 338 to 795 of the family's 1533-position model. The record is from RNAcentral.
GCUACGGGUGGCAGCAGUGAGGAAUAUUGGUCAAUGGGCGUAAGCCUGAACCAGCCAAGUCGCGUGAGGGAUGAAGGUUCUAUGGAUCGUAAACCUCUUUUAUAAGGGAAUAAAGUGCGGGACGUGUCCCGUUUUGUAUGUACCUUCUGAAUAAGGAUCGGCUAACUCCGUGCCAGCAGCCACGGUAAUACGGAGGAUCCGAUCGUUAUCCGGAUUUAUUGGGUUUAAAGGGUGCGUAGGCGGCCUUUGAAGUCAGCGGGGAAAGUCUGUGGGUCAACCAUAGAAUUGUGGUGGAAACUGGGAGGCUUGAGUAUGUUUGAGGCAGGCGGAAUGAGUGGUGUAGCGGUGAAAUGCUUAGAUAUCACGCAGAACCCCGAUUGCGAAGGCAGCCUGCCAAGCCAUGACUGACGCUGAUGCACGAAAGCGUGGGGAUCAAACAGGAUUAGAGACCCGGGUAGUC